AGGGAUCAUUACAAGUGACCCCGGUCUAACCACCGGGAUGUUCAUAACCCUUUGUUGUCCGACUCUGUUGCCUCCGGGGCGACCCUGCCUUCGGGCGGGGGCUCCGGGUGGACACUUCAAACUCUUGCGUAACUUUGCAGUCUGAGUAAACUUAAUUAAUAAAUUAAAACUUUUAACAACGGAUCUCUUGGUUCUGGCAUCGAUGAAGAACGCAGCGAAAUGCGAUAAGUAGUGUGAAUUGCAGAAUUCAGUGAAUCAUCGAAUCUUUGAACGCACAUUGCGCCCCCUGGUAUUCCGGGGGGCAUGCCUGUUCGAGCGUCAUUUCACCACUCAAGCCUCGCUUGGUAUUGGGCAUCGCGGUCCGCCGCGUGCCUCAAAUCGACCGGCUGGGUCUUCUGUCCCCUAAGCGUUGUGGAAACUAUUCGCUAAAGGGUGUUCGGGAGGCUACGCCGUAAAACAACCCCAUUUCUAAGGUUGACCUCGGAUCAGGUAGGGAUACCCGCUGAACUUAA
This 512-nucleotide ribosomal RNA is filed under the name uncultured Cladosporium. RNAcentral describes it as "eukaryotic LSU rRNA". The stretch from base 168 to 321 matches the Rfam family "5.8S ribosomal RNA". Lineage: Eukaryota; Fungi; Ascomycota; Dothideomycetes; Cladosporiales; Cladosporiaceae. The record is from RNAcentral.